GUAGUCGGAUUAGUAUUAAUCUACAUUUGUUGAGAUGAGUUGGAAUGGAACUUAAACUAAAUUUCAUCCCAAUCCACUUCAUCUCAUAUGGAUUGAGAUGAAUCCGACA
Molecule: microRNA precursor, 109 nt
Filed under: Sorghum bicolor (sorghum)
Lineage: Eukaryota; Viridiplantae; Streptophyta; Magnoliopsida; Poales; Poaceae
Description: MIR5565 microRNA precursor family
Rfam family: MIR5565 microRNA precursor family
Source: Rfam by way of RNAcentral